AGAGUUUGAUCCUGGCUCAGAAUGAACGCUGGCGGCGUGCCUAACACAUGCAAGUCGUACGAGAAAGGGGCUUCGGCCCUGAGUAGAGUGGCGCACGGGUGAGUAACGCGUGGGUAAUCUACCCUUGGAUUUGGGAUAACUCUGCGAAAGUGGAGCUAAUACCGGAUAGUCUGGUUUUAAAUAAGAAGUCGGUAAAGGAUGCCUCUGCAUAUGCAUUCGUCCGAGGAUGAGCCCGCGUCUCAUUAGCUAGUUGGUAGGGUAAUGGCCUACCAAGGCAACGAUGAGUAGCUGGUCUGAGAGGAUGAUCAGCCACACUGGAACCGAAACACGGUCCAGACUCCUACGGGAGGCAGCAGUGGGGAAUAUUGCGCAAUGGGCGAAAGCCUGACGCAGCAACGCCGUGUGAGGGAUGAAGGCUUUCGGGUCGUAAACCUCUGUCAGAAGGGAAGAACGAGCAUUGGUCUAAUAGGCCUUUGUUUUGACGGUACCUUCAGAGGAAGCACCGGCUAACUUCGUGCCAGCAGCCGCGGUAA
Molecule: ribosomal RNA, 533 nt
Filed under: uncultured bacterium
Lineage: Bacteria
Description: bacterial SSU rRNA
Rfam family: Bacterial small subunit ribosomal RNA
Source: RNAcentral